Molecule: ribosomal RNA, 466 nt
Filed under: uncultured bacterium
Lineage: Bacteria
Description: bacterial SSU rRNA
Rfam family: Bacterial small subunit ribosomal RNA
Source: RNAcentral
ACUCCUACGGGAGGCAGCAGUAGGGAAUAUUGGUCAAUGAGUGAGCAGACCUGAACCAGCCAUGCCGCGUAGCAGAGACGGCUUCUGGGUUGUAAACUGCUUUUACCAGGGGAUAAAAGAUCUUGCGAGAUUAAUUGAAGGUACCUGGAGAAUAAGCACCGGCUAACUACGUGCCAGCAGCCGCGGUAAUACGUAGGGUGCAAGCGUUGUCCGGAUUUAUUGGGUUUAAAGGGUGCGUAGGCGGGCUAUUAAGUCAGUGGUGAAAUCCAGCAGCUUAACUGUUGAUGUGCCAUUGAUACUGGUAGUCUUGAGUACAGAUGAGGUAGGCGGAAUUGACAGUGUAGCGGUGAAAUGCAUAGAUAUUGUCAAGAACUCCGAUAGCGAAGGCAGCUUACUGGCUGUAACUGACGCUGAUGCACGAAAGUGUGGGGAUCAAACAGGAUUAGAUACCCUGGUAGGAUAGCGU